CAAGGAAUGCCCGCAGCCUGGGAUUCCUCCUAAGCCAUGUCCCAUCUGUGCGGGACCCCACUGGAAAUUGGACUGUUCAACUCACCUGGUAGCCACUCCCAGGGCCCCUGGAACUCUGGCCCAAGGCUCUCUGACUGACUCCUUCCCAGAUCUUCUCAGCUUAGCGGCUGAACACUGACACUGCCCGAUCGCCUCAGAAGCCCUGUAGACCAUCACGGACGCCGAGCUUUAGGUAACUCUCACAGUGGAGGAGACAGGAAUGUUAGGCCUCUGAGCCCAAGCUAAGCCAUCAUAUCCCCUGUGACCUGCACGUACACAUCCAGAUGGCUGGUUCCUGCCUUAACUGAUGACAUUCCACCACAAAAGAAGUGAAAAUGGCCUGUUCCUGCCUUAACUGAUGGCAUUAUCUUGUGAAAUUCCUUUUCCUCGCUCAUCCUGGCUCAAAAGCUCCUCUACUGAGCACCUUGUGACCCCCCACUCCUGCCUGCCAGAGAACAACCUCCCUUUUUCCUUUACCUAACCAAAUCCUAUAAAAGGGCCCCACCCCUAUCUCCCUUCGCUGACUCUCUUUUUGGUCUCAGCCCACCUGCACCCAGGUGAAAUAAACAGCUUUAUUGCUC
This 620-nucleotide long non-coding RNA is filed under the name Homo sapiens (human). Lineage: Eukaryota; Metazoa; Chordata; Mammalia; Primates; Hominidae. The record is from RNAcentral.